Molecule: long non-coding RNA, 300 nt
Organism: Daktulosphaira vitifoliae (grape phylloxera)
Lineage: Eukaryota; Metazoa; Arthropoda; Insecta; Hemiptera; Phylloxeridae
Exons: 3
Source: RefSeq, a predicted model, not a curated record
AUAAAAGUGAAAAUUGUUUUUAAAAUGUUUGCAUACGAACAUUCCAAUAAUAGUUUAGCUAAUCGUAUAUUCGUAUUGCAGCUAUGAAUUGUAAUAUCCAUUCCGACUAUUUGGUUAUGAUCAUAUUUGCGUCCACAAUCAAAUAUCAAAAAUUGAAGACACAAUCAAAGAAAAGGUUCAUGGUGUUCUAGAAAGUGAUUUACAAUGUUCAAUUUGUAAUGAAUUAAUGGUUAAGGCGUGUACAAUUAAUUGCAGCCAUACUUUUUGUGAAAUUUGUAUAAAUAAAAAAAGUAAUAUAAA